GACGAACGCUGGCGGCGUGCCUAACACAUGCAAGUCGAGCGAAUGAAGUUCCUUCGGGAAUGGAUUUAGCGGCGGACGGGUGAGUAACACGUGGGCAACCUGCCUCAUAGAGGGGAAUAGCCUUCCGAAAGGGAGAUUAAUACCGCAUAAGAUUGUAGUACCGCAUGAUACAGCAAUUAAAGGAGCAAUCCGCUAUGAGAUGGGCCCGCGGCGCAUUAGCUAGUUGGUGAGGUACGGCUCACCAAGGCGACGAUGCGUAGCCGACCUGAGAGGGUGAUCGGCCACAUUGGGACUGAGACACGGCCCAGACUCCUACGGGAGGCAGCGGUGGGGAAUAUUGCACAAUGGGGGAAACCCUGAUGCAGCAACGCCGCGUGAGUGAUGACGGCCUUCGGGUUGUAAAGCUCUGUCUUCAGGGACGAUAAUGACGGUACCUGAGGAGGAAGCCACGGCUAACUACGUGCCAGCCGCCGCCGUAA
Molecule: ribosomal RNA, 479 nt
Filed under: uncultured bacterium
Lineage: Bacteria
Description: partial 16S ribosomal RNA
Rfam family: Bacterial small subunit ribosomal RNA
Source: RNAcentral